UAGGGAAUCUUCGGCAAUGGGGGGAACCCUGACCGAGCAACGCCGCGUGAGUGAAGAAGGUUUUCGGAUCGUAAAGCUCUGUUGUUAAGGAAGAACGAGUGUGAGAAUGGAAAGUUCAUACUGUGACGGUACUUAACCAGAAAGGGACGGCUAACUACGUGCCAGCAGCCGCGGUAAUACGUAGGUCCCGAGCGUUGUCCGGAUUUAUUGGGCGUAAAGCGAGCGCAGGCGGUUUUCUAAGUCUGAUGUGAAAGCCUUCGGCUUAACCGGAGAAGUGCAUCGGAAACUGGAUAACUUGAGUGCAGAAGAGGGUAGUGGAACUCCAUGUGUAGCGGUGGAAUGCGUAGAUAUAUGGAAGAACACCAGUGGCGAAGGCGGCUACCUGGUCUGCAACUGACGCUGAGACUCGAAAGCAUGGGUAGCGAACAGGAUUAGAUACCCUGGUAGUCCAUGCCGUAAACGAUGAGUGCUAGGUGUUGGAGGGUUUCCGCCCUUCAGUGCCGGAGCUAACGCAUUAAGCACUCCGCCUGGGGAGUACGACCGCAAGGUUG
This 551-nucleotide ribosomal RNA is filed under the name uncultured bacterium. Its description in RNAcentral is "bacterial SSU rRNA". It matches the Rfam family "Bacterial small subunit ribosomal RNA", at positions 355 to 896 of the family's 1533-position model. The record is from RNAcentral.